GACCACAGAUUAAGGAAGCCAUCGAGCUUGGAAAACUUUUCCGCCCGCUGAGACCUGCGUCUCCUUCUCUGUGUCGAUCUCAUCAAGAAGAGCGGCUGCCUCCGUUCGGCAGGUCUUUUUCGAGAAAAAGCUGCCUGUGGUCCUUUUCUGGGACCUUUCUGUGGUUUCUCAUAGGAAAGGAUUCGAACGUCUGUUAGUUCUUCCAUACCCCAUAAAUCCUCGGCAGAUCUCGAAGUUAUUUUCUGCAUAGCUCUCUCUCUUUCCUUCCUCUGCUAGCCCUUUGCUUCAGCAUAUCUUUCAGACGUUUUGGACCGCCAUGGGAGGCACCCUGGAGUACUUUUCUGGCUUGCUGGGCAGUGGUCACGAGAAGCACAAGAGGAAGAAGCAGUUGCAGACCGUGGAGCUCAAGGUC
Molecule: long non-coding RNA, 412 nt
Filed under: Phoenix dactylifera (date palm)
Lineage: Eukaryota; Viridiplantae; Streptophyta; Magnoliopsida; Arecales; Arecaceae
Description: long non-coding RNA (PDAC_LNC003143)
Source: RNAcentral